GUUUGGUCAUAAACUUUAAUUUACCCUACUAUCGCCUAGAGAUUACGAGCAACGCUUAAAACCUAAAGGACUUGACGGUACCCUAUACCCCUCUAGAGGAGCCUGUCCUACAAUUGACAAUCCCCGUUUUACCUCACCACUUCUAGCUUUUCAGCCUGUAUACCUCCGUCCCAGUCCACCCUGUGAAGGAACUAGUAAGCCCAAACGUUAUUAACUAAUAUAUCAGGUCAAGGUGCAGCAAAUGAAGUGGAAAGAGAUGGGCUACACUUUCUGACCGCAGAAAACACGAAAAGUCAUAUGCAACCCAACUAGAAGGUGGAUUUAGUAGUAAAAAGAAAAUAGAGUGUUCUUUUUAACCCGGCACUAGGGUGUGUACAUACCGCCCGUCACCCUCUUCAAGUAGCACAACACUAGUAAUUAACAAAUUCAAAUCUAAAGAGGAGGCAAGUCGUAACACGGUAAGUACACCGGAAGGUGUGCUUGGCAA
RNAcentral lists this ribosomal RNA (487 nucleotides) under Ischnocnema juipoca (Souzas robber frog). Its description in RNAcentral is "partial 12S ribosomal RNA". It matches the Rfam family "Bacterial small subunit ribosomal RNA", at positions 794 to 1521 of the family's 1533-position model. The record is from RNAcentral. Lineage: Eukaryota; Metazoa; Chordata; Amphibia; Anura; Brachycephalidae.